GCCUCUGUAGCUCAGUUGGUAGAGCAGGGGACUGAAAAUCCCCGUGUCGAUGGUUCGAUUCCGUCCGGAGGCA
RNAcentral lists this transfer RNA (73 nucleotides) under Clostridium sp. MSTE9. It matches the Rfam family "tRNA". From Rfam's summary of the family: Transfer RNA (tRNA) molecules are approximately 80 nucleotides in length. Lineage: Bacteria; Bacillati; Bacillota; Clostridia; Eubacteriales; Clostridiaceae. The record is from Rfam by way of RNAcentral. RNAcentral also lists the same sequence under 3 other names.